AUCCGAAGGAAAUCCACAGAUGAUAUUUCACUGAGGGUAUUGUUAAUGUCUUGGGCUAUCAUUAUGUAGCAUUUUUCCAACGGGAUGAAAAGAACAUGGAGUAUUUUUGAGGGGAGAAGGAGAAGAUUUUGUUAAGCUUUUUAAACAAAAUCAAAUUAAAAAAAAAAAAAGAGAGAAAUAUGCGUACAGUAUUUCACCCACAAACAGAUGGCCAAACAUAACAAAUCAAUAGUAUGUAAAUAACAAUGUUAAGAAGAUCUGUUGCAAUGCAUGAAAAAUGACUUGCUUCUCGGCUGCUACAUUCAUACAGACUAAACCUUCACAGAAGAUAGCAGGAUAUAAGUUUUUGUUUUGUUUUUUUUUUUCUUUCAGAGACAGAUGUAGUGGCUCAAAGUUGCCGCUUUCAUUUACAGGUCCAUUUUUAUAAGCUGCAGAACCAACAGAUGCACUUUAAACCUUAAAAACACAGUGGCUAGGAAAUACACAGUGCUGGAAGUCUGAAAGCCAGAAGCAGCAGAAGGAAGUGCUGCUCUGUUUUCACAAGGACUGUGAAUUCCCUGCACUUAUGAUCACGCUGUCUUUCACAGGAUGUAAAGCCUCCUGAAAUUGCUAUUCUGUCAGUGUUGCCUCUCUUAAUCCUAAAACAUUUCAUCAUGGAAGUACUGUGGAAGUACAUGGAUGCAGAGGAGAUAACGGAGUCAUUUGGAGGCAACGGGCUGCAUCGACUCUCAGCCCCUCAGCAAAUCAAAAUCUUAAUGAUCCUCAACUCCUUUGUGAACUUAACUGUGUUUAAAAAUGGAGUUAGAGUGCUAGUGCCAGCAGAAGAAUGCAGACUAUAUAAACAUAAACUGUCAGUUUUAAGAAUGGAAAGUUCCUAA
Molecule: long non-coding RNA, 878 nt
Filed under: Anas zonorhyncha (Eastern spot-billed duck)
Lineage: Eukaryota; Metazoa; Chordata; Aves; Anseriformes; Anatidae
Description: lncRNA (ENSAZOG00000007408.1)
Source: RNAcentral